This 686-nucleotide ribosomal RNA is filed under the name uncultured Actinomycetales bacterium. Its description in RNAcentral is "bacterial SSU rRNA". It matches the Rfam family "Bacterial small subunit ribosomal RNA", at positions 57 to 755 of the family's 1533-position model. The record is from RNAcentral. Lineage: Bacteria; Bacillati; Actinomycetota; Actinomycetes; Actinomycetales.
GCAAGUCGAACGGAAAGGCUCCAGCUUGCUGGAGUACUCGAGUGGCGAACGGGUGAGUAACACGUGGGUAAUCUGCCCUGCACUCUGGGAUAAGCCUGGGAAACUGGGUCUAAUACUGGAUAUGACCUUUCUCCUUAUGGGGUUUGGUGGAAAGUUUUUCGGUGUAGGAUGAGCCCGCGGCCUAUCAGCUUGUUGGUGGGGUGAUGGCCUACCAAGGCGACGACGGGUAGCCGGCCUGAGAGGGUGAUCGGCCACAUUGGGACUGAGAUACGGCCCAGACUCCUACGGGAGGCAGCAGUGGGGAAUAUUGCACAAUGGGCGGAAGCCUGAUGCAGCGACGCCGCGUGAGGGAUGACGGCCUUCGGGUUGUAAACCUCUUUCAGCAGGGACGAAGCGUAAGUGACGGUACCUGCAGAAGAAGCACCGGCUAACUAUGUGCCAGCAGCCGCGGUAAUACGUAGGGUGCGAGCGUUGUCCGGAAUUACUGGGCGUAAAGAGCUCGUAGGCGGUUUGUCACGUCGUCUGUGAAAUCCUAGGGCUUAACCCUGGACGUGCAGGCGAUACGGGCUGACUUGAGUACUACAGGGGAGACUGGAAUUUCUGGUGUAGCGGUGGAAUGCACAGAUAUCAGGAAGAACACCGAUGGCGAAGGCAGGUCUCUGGGUAGUAACUGACGCUGAGGAGCG